Molecule: ribosomal RNA, 438 nt
Filed under: uncultured bacterium
Lineage: Bacteria
Description: bacterial SSU rRNA
Rfam family: Bacterial small subunit ribosomal RNA
Source: RNAcentral
UGAGGAAUAUUGGUCAAUGGGCGAGAGCCUGAACCAGCCAAGUAGCGUGCAGGAAGACGGCCCUAUGGGUUGUAAACUGCUUUUAUACGGGGAUAAAGUUAGGGACGUGUCCCUUUUUCGCAGGUACCGUAUGAAUAAGGACCGGCUAAUUCCGUGCCAGCAGCCGCGGUAAUACGGAAGGUCCUGGCGUUAUCCGGAUUUAUUGGGUUUCAAAGGGAGCGUAGGCCGGAGAUUAAGCGUGUUGUGAAACUGUAGGAGCUCAACUUCUGCAUUGCAGCGCGAACUGGUUUCCUUGAGUACGUAGGAAGUUGGCGGAAUUCGUGGUGUAGCGGUGAAAUGCUUAGAUAUCACGCAGAACUCCGAUUGCGAAGGCAGCAUACCGGCGCUCAACUGACGCUGAGGCACGAAAUGCGUGGGGAUCGAACAGGAUUAGAUACC